UGCCAGCAGCCGCGGUAACACGUAAGGGGCAAGCGCUGUCCGGAAUCACUGGGCGUAAAGGGAGCGUAGGUGGCGAGAUAAGUCAGAUGUGAAAGUUUGCGGCUCAACCGUAAAAUUGCAUUUGAUACUGUUUUGCUAGAGUAUCGGAGAGGAAAGCGGAAUUCCUGGUGUAGCGGUGAAAUGCGCAGAGAUCAGGAAGAACACCAAUGGCGAAGGCAGCUUUCUGGACGAUAACUGACACUGAGGCUCGAAAGCGUGGGUAGCGAACAGGAUUAGAUA
Molecule: ribosomal RNA, 279 nt
Filed under: uncultured bacterium
Lineage: Bacteria
Description: partial 16S ribosomal RNA
Rfam family: Bacterial small subunit ribosomal RNA
Source: RNAcentral